This 566-nucleotide long non-coding RNA is filed under the name Lonchura striata (white-rumped munia). RNAcentral describes it as "domestica (Bengalese finch) lncRNA (ENSLSDG00000003241.1)". The record is from RNAcentral. Lineage: Eukaryota; Metazoa; Chordata; Aves; Passeriformes; Estrildidae.
GUUGGAUUUCAGGAGAUGGGCUGUGGGUUUCUGAGAGGAGCCUAAGUGAAUAUGCUGAUGACUCUGUAGUCCAAGGUGUCCUGGCAAGUCAGCUGAGCAGAGCUGCAAAUGCUUUCCAGGCUCAAAAUCAACUUUCUCAUCUGAUGGCAGCAUGGAUGCCAUGGCCAGACAUUUCAGGCCCUGAAAAACAUUCCAGCCAAACUUGUGAAGAUGGAACCUCCUCCAGCAGAGCCACAGAGGAGAAUUCUGGAAAUGCAGAUUUGCAGAGCGCCCUGGAGCUGAAAGACCACGACACACUUGAUAUUUUUGGGAACAAGCACUUCAGCCACCCUAAUUCAUACAAACUAGAGGCAUCAGGCUGAACAGACCAUUGAUUUGAUUUCCUGCCUCAUUUCUUGGCUUUAAGGAUGCCUGAUCCAUACCCAAGGGAUUUGCACAGAUAAAUCAUCUUUCUAGUCCAUUUAGAGAAGGAGAAAAGAAGGAGGGGGAAAAUGAAAGACCAGUUUAUUUUUUUGGAGCUUCUGGGGUGAGUUUGUCUUUUUGUGUACAUUGAUUUUUGGCGAUGU